This 280-nucleotide ribosomal RNA is filed under the name uncultured bacterium. Its description in RNAcentral is "partial 16S ribosomal RNA". It matches the Rfam family "Bacterial small subunit ribosomal RNA", at positions 28 to 334 of the family's 1533-position model. The record is from RNAcentral.
GAUGAACGCUAGCGGCAGGCCUAACACAUGCAAGUCGAGCGCUUCACUUCGGUGAGGAGCGGCGGACGGGUUAGUAACGCGUGGGAAUAUGCCCUUCUCUAAGGAAUAGCCUCUGGAAACGGAGAGUAAUACCUUAUACGCCCUUUGGGGGAAAGAUUUAUCGGAGAAGGAUUAGCCCGCGUUAGAUUAGGUAGUUGGUGGGGUAAUGGCCUACCAAGCCUACGAUCUAUAGCUGGCUUGAGAGGAUGAUCAGCCACACUGGGACUGAGACACGGCCCAG